CCGUCCCUACUCCAGCGAUGCCUGACCUUCGGUCUCGUUCCACUCUGAGGUCGGCCCGACAUUGGUCAAGCUCUUGUUUGAUUAAAGGCCAGCUGUAGCGACAGCCUCUCUUUGGCCCAUGAGGCACGAACUUCCAUCGGUUCUCCUAAUCUGCGUGGUUUUCAAUCGUAUCAUGGCCAUUCUACAGUGAUAUUUCCUUACCUGAUGUCUGACAUUCAGAAUUUCUCGUUCUCUAUCCAUAGUCUUACAUUUGUCCCUGACAGUUAGAAUCCCUCAUUAUUUACCCAAAGUUCUACAUUUAGCUCCAGAUUUACAUACCAGGUCCUGACAUUCAGAAUCCCUCUUUCAUUACUCAUGGCCUUAUAUUCAUCUCCAGAUGCACACAUCUGAUGUUGGGAACCAUUUAUCUAAAGACUAACAUAAACGAUGUUUGGAACCUAUAUUCUUCA
This is a long non-coding RNA of Magallana angulata, 449 nucleotides long. RefSeq lists it as uncharacterized. The transcript is spliced from 2 exons. NCBI's taxonomy places the organism in Eukaryota, Metazoa, Mollusca, Bivalvia, Ostreida, Ostreidae. The record is from RefSeq and is a predicted model, not a curated record.